This 460-nucleotide ribosomal RNA is filed under the name uncultured bacterium. Its description in RNAcentral is "partial 16S ribosomal RNA". It matches the Rfam family "Bacterial small subunit ribosomal RNA", at positions 338 to 795 of the family's 1533-position model. The record is from RNAcentral.
CCUACGGGUGGCAGCAGUGAGGAAUAUUGGUCAAUGGGCGCGAGCCUGAACCAGCCAAGUAGCGUGAAGGAUGACUGCCCUACGGGUUGUAAACUUCUUUUAUAAAGGAAUAAAGUGAGGCACGUGUGCCUUUUUGUAUGUACUUUAUGAAUAAGGAUCGGCUAACUCCGUGCCAGCAGCCGCGGUAAUCCGGAGGAGCCGAGCGUUAUCCGGAUAUAUUGGGUUUAAAGGGAGCGUAGAUGGGUUGUUAAGUCCGUUGGGAAAGGUUGAUGCUCAACCGUAAAAUUGCAAUUGAUACUGGCAGACUUGAGUACAGGUGAGGUAGGCGGAAUUCGUGGUGUAGCGGUGAAAUGCGUAGAUAUCACGAAGAACUCCGAUUGCGAAGGCAGCCUACUAAACUGCCACUGACAUUGAGGCACGAAAGUGUGGGUAGCAAACAGGAUUAGAUACCCUUGUAGUC